GACGAAAGCUGGCGGCGUGCCUAAUACAUGCAAGUCGAGCGAAGUUUUUCUGGUGCUUGCACCGGAAAAACUUAGCGGCGAACGGGUGAGUAACACGUAAAGAACCUGCCUCAUAGACUGGGACAACUAUUGGAAACGAUAGCUAAUACCGGAUAAUAGCAUUAACUGCAUGGUUGAUGUUUAAAAGUUGGUUUUGCUAACACUAUGAGAUGGCUUUGUGGUGCAUUAGCUAGUUGGUGGGGUAAAGGCCUACCAAGGCGACGAUGCAUAGCCGACCUGAGAGGGUGAUCGGCCACACUGGGACUGAGACACGGCCCAGACUCCUACGGGAGGCAGCAGUAGGGAAUCUUCCGCAAUGGGCGAAAGCCUGACGGAGCAACGCCGCGUGAGUGAAGAAGGAUUUCGGUUCGUAAAGCUCUGUUGUUAGGGAAGAAUGAUUGUGUAGUAACUAUACACAGUAGAGACGGUACCUAACCAGAAAGCCACGGCUAACUACGUG
RNAcentral lists this ribosomal RNA (499 nucleotides) under uncultured bacterium. Its description in RNAcentral is "partial 16S ribosomal RNA". It matches the Rfam family "Bacterial small subunit ribosomal RNA", at positions 28 to 507 of the family's 1533-position model. The record is from RNAcentral.